AUGAACGCUGGCCGCGUGCCUAAUACAUGCCAGUCCAGCCAACAGACGAGGAGCUUGCUCCUCUGACGUUAGCGGCGGACGGGAGGGUAACACGUGGAUAACCUACCUAUAAGACUGGGAUAACUUAGGGAAACCGGAGCUAAUACCGGAUAAUAUAUUGAACCGCAUGGUUCAAUAGUGAAAGACGGUUUUGCUCUCACUUAUAGAUGGAUCCGCGCCGCAUUAGCUAGUUGGUAAGGUAACGGCUUACCAAGGCAACGAUGCGUAGCCGACCUGAGAGGGUGAUCGGCCACACUGGAACUGAGACACGGUCCAGACUCCUACGGGAGGCAGCAGUGGGGAAUCUUCCGCAAUGGGCGAAAGCCUGACGGAGCAACGCCGCGUGAGCGAUGAAGGUCUUCGGAUCGUAAAACUCUGUUAUUAGGGAAGAACAAAUGUGUAAGUAACUAUGCACGUCUUGACGGUACCUAAUCAGAAAGCCACGGCUAACUACGUG
RNAcentral lists this ribosomal RNA (496 nucleotides) under uncultured bacterium. RNAcentral describes it as "partial 16S ribosomal RNA". It matches the Rfam family "Bacterial small subunit ribosomal RNA", at positions 29 to 507 of the family's 1533-position model. The record is from RNAcentral.